GGGUUUAGAAUGGGGUACCAUAUUCAAUUACGGAUUGAGGUGUUUUAAACUUU
RNAcentral lists this transfer RNA (53 nucleotides) under Camallanus lacustris. Its description in RNAcentral is "tRNA-Arg". The record is from RNAcentral. Lineage: Eukaryota; Metazoa; Nematoda; Chromadorea; Rhabditida; Camallanidae.